GGAAAACUCCAAGCAAGAACUGUCCAAAGGAGAUGCCGCUCUCCACGGCAAUGACAAGGUUCUGCGGGUUGCCGAUGGGCGUCGCCGCGGAGCCGAUGUUGGAGCUGGUGGCGAGGGCGAGGAGGAACGGCUGCGGCGGCAGGUUGUUCUGCCUGGCAACCUUGAGGAUGAACUCGGUGAGCACGACGCAGCAGGUGUCAUUGGUGAAGAGCGC
Molecule: unclassified non-coding RNA, 214 nt
Filed under: Hevea brasiliensis (rubber tree)
Lineage: Eukaryota; Viridiplantae; Streptophyta; Magnoliopsida; Malpighiales; Euphorbiaceae
Source: RNAcentral